Molecule: small RNA, 27 nt
Filed under: Bombyx mori (domestic silkworm)
Lineage: Eukaryota; Metazoa; Arthropoda; Insecta; Lepidoptera; Bombycidae
Description: ovarian small RNA-21108
Source: RNAcentral
UACGCUCGAGUAUUUUGCCGGCUUCGU